GUAGGUGGCAAGCGUUGUCCGGAAUUAUUGGGCGUAAAGCGCGCGCAGGUGGUUCUUUAAGUCUGAUGUGAAAGCCCCCGGGCUCAACCAGGGAGGGUCAUUGGAAACUGGGGAACUUGAGUGCAGGAGAGGAAAGUGGAAUUCCACGUGUAGCGGUGAAAUGCGUAGAUAUGUGGAGGAACACCAGUGGCGAAGGCGACUUUCUGGCCUGUAACUGACACUGAGGCGCGAAAGCGUGGGGAGCAAACAGGAUUAGAUACCCUGGUAGUCCACGCCGUAAACGAUGAGUGCUAAGUGUUGGGGGGUUUCCGCCCCUCAGUGCUGCAGCUAACGCAUUAAGCACUCCGCCUGGGGAGUACGGUCGCAAGACUG
Molecule: ribosomal RNA, 372 nt
Filed under: uncultured organism
Description: partial 16S ribosomal RNA
Rfam family: Bacterial small subunit ribosomal RNA
Source: RNAcentral